GUGGAGCUGGAAAGGUGGAGGCGGAAGUGACUGAUCAAUUCAGGGGCGUGGGGUUCGUUUAGGUUUUGCCCUGUGUAUGACCUCGUUUGGAGCCAUGAAACCAGAGUUUCGCUCUUUUUGACCAAGCUGGAGUGCAAUGGCGUGAUCUCGGCUCGCUGCAAUCUCUGCCUUCCAGGUUCAAGUGAUUCUCCUGCCUCAGCCUUCUGAGUAGUUGGGAUUACAGGAAGCUCUUCCACGAGUUCACGAAUGGAAAUAACAUCAAGAGUUUUUCAUCUUCUUAGUGUGCAAGGUAUGGAUAUUCUGUGUGUGAACUUCAAGAGUAUCUAAGGGAGGCAAUAACAUGGUUGAUAAUAUACCAGAGACUACAAACUGUCUGUGCAUCCCAGAGGAACAGGAAGCUUGUGCAGGUGAAAAGACUGGAGGAGGAAGUAUGUUGAUGAUACCCAGGAAGCCCACCUUCCACUUCUUUGGUCAUCAGAAAUGUCUGAGGAAUAGUCUUAGUGGAUUAUCCCAAACUUGACACAUUUUUUGCAAAAUGCUAUACAAAAAGAAGAUACAUGCGAUUAUGACAAGAUUCUCCACUUGGUGUGACCAGUCUCAUACAACCCAAGGCUGUGUGUCCAAAGGCAACUGUACUGAAUACCGGAAAGCAUGUAUUUGUUUGCUAAAUUGCUCUCUUUCCACCAGUGAUAUCAAUUCUGAAAUACUUUUGAGAUCUUGACAAUAAUCAAAAGGUAGCCAGGUGCAUC
Molecule: long non-coding RNA, 749 nt
Organism: Homo sapiens (human)
Lineage: Eukaryota; Metazoa; Chordata; Mammalia; Primates; Hominidae
Gene: ZRANB2-DT
Product: ZRANB2 divergent transcript
Source: Ensembl